RNAcentral lists this long non-coding RNA (588 nucleotides) under Homo sapiens (human). RNAcentral describes it as "HSALNT0019669". Lineage: Eukaryota; Metazoa; Chordata; Mammalia; Primates; Hominidae. The record is from RNAcentral.
UUUUAAACAAAAACAAACAAAGCAGUCAUUAUAGCUAAUGAUAAAGUAUAUCACUGUACCAUAGAAGAAGCACCAUAUAUUCAGAGAAAAAAAGCUAAAUGGUUGUGAAAUUUCCUCUCAAGGUCAUUUGGAAAGGCUAUAAUAAAAAGAAAAGAAAAGCAAGAAAUAACAGCAUGUCAAGUGGGCUGUUUACCACACCUUUUUCCACCACAUAGAGUAAAAAUAAAAAUGAAACUUGACUUUCAGUAAGAAGAAACUGACCACAGGAUUAAAGAUAUAAAGACAAUUAUUAUAAAGAUACUCUGAUUUUUGACAUCCUGUUUACAAUGUGAGUGUGUAUCUGUGUGCAUAAAAGUUUUCUUGCCUUCUAAUAGUGGUUUUUAUUAUUUUUAUUAGACACAGUGGGUAGAAAUUUUUAACUGCUUUAUUGAACGUGAGCACCAACACAUAUAAUUUUGAAUAACAACCAAUAAUAUCAGAAUUUUAAGUUUGUCCUAAAAUUAGUGAAAGACCUUUUGCUGAGCUUACUUAUUAAGAACGUCCUCUUCAGCACUAGAAGUUUUACUCUUGGUGUUUUGCCAGAGAAUU